AUGAGUGUCAAAGAUGGUUUCAUGCUCAGUGUCUAAGUAUGAAGAAUGCAGAGUUUGAAAAGGCCAAAAAAAGGAAUGUGGAACUCUCUCCUAUGUGAAUGAGAACAUGUUAAUGAAGCAUUUCCUUUUAUUGUGUAUAUAUACUGGAAAUAAUAUUUGCAGUAUUGUAGAUACUACUGCAUGUUCUAUGUAAAUACAACCAGAAAAAAAUUAUAAAUAAAUGAUAGAUAUCCUGUAGAUAUCCUAGAUUAUUUGCUCACGUCGUUGAAGGAUGCGAAAUGACACAAAUUGCAUUUAAAUUAUAUUAAAGAAAUGAAACGUGCAAACUAAUAAUAUCCUACUGAAAAUUAUUGUGCCAUAAUCAGUUUCAAUUAUUAAUUGUGGAGCAAGUUUUGGACCAGUAUGUUCAACGUCAAACUAACUUCAACGUGGUAUCCUCAACCUACUACUACUCUGUUCUUUAAACUGGUGCCUAUAGGUCAGAGGACCAAAUAGUAGAAGCCAAUGUAUCCUAAGUGGCGCAGUUGUUAGCAGACUUACAGUAAGUAGGUUUUUGUUCAUUUGCGAAAGUGUUUUUCUUUUAUUUGUUCUCCCUGUGUCUGUGUGGGUGUAUUUUCCACCCCACAUACUACAAGAUUAAUGCAGGGGAGCAGGUUAAUAUAUUAAAAAAUUAUUAAUUUCUUGAAAAUCCGAAUAAUUUAUCGACGGUCCCUAAAUCGACGUCUUCACUGACGGAGCGGUCUCGUGCUGCGGUCGCGUAGCGAACGCGAAACGUGUCCGUUGAAUAUCCAACGUCCAGCCAACUUCACCGCGGUGUUGAGGAUCAGGUGACUGCCUGUAUGGAGUUAUGAACAUUCAAGAAAAAAAUGUGAAAAUCAAAGCAAAGGAGCUGCAGAAUUGGGAGAGAGAACAAAGUGGUUGCAGCAACGGACAGACUGGUUUACAGACACGUCGAGUUGUAGCAGGCUCAUACGUAUGUGACAGAUUUCGAUGAGAUGAGCAACAUGGUGUUACCAGCCUUUGACUGAGAUAAAUACAGACACCUGCUCAGCCAGCAGAUGGGCUCCUCGGCCUGUAACAAGAAGCAGAGAUCACGUCAUCGGACCACCGGUCAUUCUUGACCCUACAAAGUGAGUAACAUCACGUUUCUCAUCCCAUAUGUCCAAAACCCACAUCACAGCAGCUUCUUCCACUUCACAUUAGUGAUCUGACCACCUGUCCUCCAUCUCUUUCCGUUCUCAGCUUUUGAUCCUCCAGCUUGUAAGAGUCGUGGUCAUGAACAACAGAAGAGACGAGUUGAG
RNAcentral lists this long non-coding RNA (1301 nucleotides) under Betta splendens (Siamese fighting fish). RNAcentral's name for it is "lncRNA (ENSBSLG00000001569.1)". The record is from RNAcentral. Lineage: Eukaryota; Metazoa; Chordata; Actinopteri; Anabantiformes; Osphronemidae.